RNAcentral lists this ribosomal RNA (464 nucleotides) under uncultured bacterium. RNAcentral describes it as "partial 16S ribosomal RNA". It matches the Rfam family "Bacterial small subunit ribosomal RNA", at positions 28 to 507 of the family's 1533-position model. The record is from RNAcentral.
GACGAACGCUGGCGGCGUGCUUAACACAUGCAAGUCGAACGGAAAGGCCCCCUUGUGGGGUACUCGAGUGGCGAACGGGUGAGUAACACGUGAGUAACCUACCCUUGACUUUGGGAUAACUUCAGGAAACUGGGGCUAAUACCGGAUAGGAGCUCCUGCUGCAUGGUGGGGGUUGGAAAGUUUCGGCGGUUGGGAUGGACUCGCGGCUUAUCAGCUUGUUGGUGGGGUAGUGGCUCACCAAGGCUUUGACGGGUAGCCGGCCUGAGAGGGUGACCGGCCACAUUGGGACUGAGAUACGGCCCAGACUCCUACGGGAGGCAGCAGUGGGGAAUAUUGCACAAUGGGCGGAAGCCUGAUGCAGCAACGCCGCGUGCGGGAUGACGGCCUUCGGGUUGUAAACCGCUUUCGCCUGUGACGAAGCGUGAGUGACGGUAAUGGGUAAAGAAGCACCGGCUAACUACGUG